UACAGGGGGGGCAAGCGUUGUUCGGAAUUACUGGGCGUAAAGGGCUUGUAGGUGGCCAACUAAGUCCGACGUGAAAUCCCUAGGCUUAACCUAGGAACUGCGUCGGAUACUGGAUGGCUUGAAUCCGGGAGAGGGAUGCGGAAUUCCAGGUGUAGCGGUGAAAUGCGUAGAUAUCUGGAGGAACACCGGUGGCGAAGGCGGCAUCCUGGACCAACACUGACGCUGAGGAGCGAAAGCCAGGGGAGCAAACGGG
RNAcentral lists this ribosomal RNA (253 nucleotides) under uncultured bacterium. RNAcentral describes it as "partial 16S ribosomal RNA". It matches the Rfam family "Bacterial small subunit ribosomal RNA", at positions 524 to 776 of the family's 1533-position model. The record is from RNAcentral.